CCUACGGGAGGCAGCAGUGGGGAAUAUUGCGCAAUGGGCGAAAGCCUGACGCAGCGACGCCGCGUGAGGGAUGAAGGUCUUCGGAUCGUAAACCUCUGUCAGCAGUGAAGAACGGUCACUGUGCUAAUCAGCAGUGAAUUGACGGUACCUCUUGAAUAAGCCACGGCUAACUACGUGCCAGCAGCCGCGGUAAUACGUAGGUGGCAAGCGUUGUCCGGAUUUACUGGGUGUAAAGGGCGUGCAGACGGGCUGACAAGUCCGAUGUGAAAUCCCGUGGCUCAACCACGGAACGGCAUUUGAAACUGUCGGUCUUGAGUAUCGGAGAGGCAGGCGGAAUUCCUAGUGUAGCGGUGAAAUGCGUAGAUAUUAGGAGGAACACCAGUGGCGAAGGCGGCCUGCUGGACGACAACUGACGGUGAGGCGCGAAAGCGUGGGGAGCAAACAGGAUUAGAUACCCCUGUAGUC
RNAcentral lists this ribosomal RNA (465 nucleotides) under uncultured bacterium. Its description in RNAcentral is "partial 16S ribosomal RNA". It matches the Rfam family "Bacterial small subunit ribosomal RNA", at positions 338 to 795 of the family's 1533-position model. The record is from RNAcentral.